CUGGCACUAUGUAAGAGAAAGACCGGGUGUGGCCUGCACUACGCCCCCGGCACAGUUGGUCAUGUAUGAUAUGUUAUGUAUAAGAGGAAGACCAGGUGUGGCCUGCACUAUGCCCCUGGCAUGAUUGGAAAAUGUAGAGGGCUAAGUGGUGACAAGUUCAUCCUUGAUAUGAUUAGUUGUGAUGUGAUGCAUUCCAUGAAAGCAUGAACC
RNAcentral lists this long non-coding RNA (210 nucleotides) under Manihot esculenta (cassava). RNAcentral describes it as "long non-coding RNA (MESC_LNC007801)". The record is from RNAcentral. Lineage: Eukaryota; Viridiplantae; Streptophyta; Magnoliopsida; Malpighiales; Euphorbiaceae.